UACAGGGGGUGCAAACGUUGCUCGGGAUUAUUGGGCGUAAAGCGCGCGUAGGCGGCUACUUAAGUCGGAUGUGAAAGCCCCUGGCUCAACUGGGGAAGUGCACCCGAAACUGAGUGGCUUGAGUACUAAAGAGGGUCGCGGAAUUCCCGGUGUAGAGGUGAAAUUCGUAGAUAUCGGGAGGAACACCGGUGGCGAAGGCGGCGACCUGGGUAGAUACUGACGCUGAGGCGCGAAAGCGUGGGGAGCAAACAGG
This 253-nucleotide ribosomal RNA is filed under the name uncultured bacterium. Its description in RNAcentral is "partial 16S ribosomal RNA". It matches the Rfam family "Bacterial small subunit ribosomal RNA", at positions 524 to 776 of the family's 1533-position model. The record is from RNAcentral.